RNAcentral lists this ribosomal RNA (780 nucleotides) under uncultured Neocallimastigales. Its description in RNAcentral is "partial large subunit ribosomal RNA". It matches the Rfam family "Eukaryotic large subunit ribosomal RNA", at positions 19 to 646 of the family's 3401-position model. The record is from RNAcentral. Lineage: Eukaryota; Fungi; Neocallimastigomycota; Neocallimastigomycetes; Neocallimastigales.
CGAGCACGCGCGUGUGGCAUAUCAAUAAGCGGAGGAAAAGAAACUAACAAGGAUUCCCUUAGUAACGGCGAGUGAAGCGGGAAGAGCUCAAAUUUGAAAUCUUCAAGGUUCUACCUUGACGAAUUGUAGUUUAUAGAAGUGUUUUCUGUUAGUAGAGUGGCAAAAGUUCUUUGGAAUAGGACAUCAUAGAGGGUGAGAAUCCCGUAUUUGGUCAUUCUUUCUAGCUUUGUGAUACACUUUCAACGAGUCGGAUUGUUUGGGAAUGCAGUCCAAAAUGGGUGGUAAAUUUCAUCUAAAGCUAAAUAUUGGCGAGAGACCGAUAGCGAACAAGUACCGUGAGGGAAAGAUGAAAAGAACUUUGAAAAGAGAGUUAAACAGUACGUGAAAUUGUCAAAAGGGAAGCGUUUGACACCAGUGUUGUUUAGUUGAAAAUCAAUUAAAUAUUUUUCGAUUUUAAGUAGUAUUGACCUUCAUCAGCUUGCUGCUUUCUUUCUCAGGAAAUUAUUUAAUGCACUUUUCAGUUAACAAGUCAACAUCAAUUUCUUUUGUUGUAAAAGGGUAUGAGGAAGGUGGCCUUCUCUUUCGGCGCAAGUGUUUAUAGCCUUGUAGCCUCUGCAAUCGGAGAGAUUGAGGACUGCAGCGUAGACUCUUCGGGGUUAGAUACAGUUUGUGCUAAGUUAUAGCUUUUCAUAGACAACUUGUUGACUAUGCUUAGUCUUGUAGCUUACUCGCUGAUGCUAUUUUACCUACGCUUAGGAUGUUGAUGUGAUACUGCGAGCA